GACGUAGGGUGCGAGCGUUGUCCGGAGUUAUUGGGCGUAAAGAGCUCGUAGGCGGCUCGUCGCGUCGACCGUGAAAACCCGCGGCUUAACUGCGGGCUUGCGGUUGAUACGGGCGGGCUAGAGUUCGGUAGGGGAGACUGGAAUUCCUGGUGUAGCGGUGAAAUGCGCAGAUAUCAGGAGGAACACCGGUGGCGAAGGCGGGUCUCUGGGCCGAUACUGACGCUGAGGAGCGAAAGCGUGGGGAGCGAACAGG
RNAcentral lists this ribosomal RNA (253 nucleotides) under uncultured bacterium. Its description in RNAcentral is "partial 16S ribosomal RNA". It matches the Rfam family "Bacterial small subunit ribosomal RNA", at positions 524 to 776 of the family's 1533-position model. The record is from RNAcentral.